RNAcentral lists this ribosomal RNA (271 nucleotides) under uncultured bacterium. RNAcentral describes it as "partial 16S ribosomal RNA". It matches the Rfam family "Bacterial small subunit ribosomal RNA", at positions 524 to 794 of the family's 1533-position model. The record is from RNAcentral.
UACAGAGGGUGCAAGCGUUGCUCGGAAUUAUUGGGCGUAAAGGGUAGGUAGGUGGUCUUAUUUGUCUAGGGUGAAAGCCUUGAGCUUAACUCAAGAAGUGCCCUAGAAACGGUAAGACUAGAGUCCUGGAGAGGGUCGUGGAAUUCCCGGUGUAGCGGUGAAAUGCGUAGAGAUCGGGAGGAACACCAGCGGCGAAGGCGGCGACCUGGACAGGUACUGACACUCAACUACGAAAGCGUGGGGAGCAAACAGGAUUAGAUACCCCAGUAGU